CUCUUCCCGCCAUCUUGGCUCCUGUGGAGGCCUGCUGGGAACGGGACUUCUAAAAGGAACUAUGUCUGGAAGGCUGUGGUCCAAGGCCAUUUUUGCCGGCUAUAAGCGGGGUCUCCGGAACCAAAGGGAGCACACAGCUCUUCUUAAAAUUGAAGGUGUUUACGCCCGAGAUGAAACAGAAUUCUAUUUGGGCAAGAGAUGCGCUUAUGUAUACAAAGCAAAGAAGUAAGUUUAUGACACUGGUAGGUUUUGGGUUUUUAUUUGAGAUCUGCCUCAUUUUCUUUUUUAUAUAACGGAGUCUUGCUCUCUUGCCCAGGCUGGAGUGCAGUGACUUGGUCUCCCUCACCGAAACCUCCGCCUCCCGGGUUCAAGCAAGUCUCCUGUCUCAGCCUCCCGAGUAGCUGGGAUUACAGGCGCCGGCCACCACGCCCGGCUAGUUUUUGUAUUAUUAGUAGAGACAGGGUAUUGCCAUGUUGGCCAGGCUUGUCCCAAACUCCUGACCUCAGGUGAUCCGCCCACCUCGGCCUCCCAAAGUGUUGAGAUUACAGGCUUGAGCCACCGCGCUUGGCCUCAUUAUCCUAUU
This 583-nucleotide small RNA is filed under the name Pongo abelii (Sumatran orangutan). RNAcentral describes it as "retained intron". The record is from RNAcentral. Lineage: Eukaryota; Metazoa; Chordata; Mammalia; Primates; Hominidae.